Molecule: long non-coding RNA, 1672 nt
Organism: Magnolia sinica
Lineage: Eukaryota; Viridiplantae; Streptophyta; Magnoliopsida; Magnoliales; Magnoliaceae
Exons: 3
Source: RefSeq, a predicted model, not a curated record
UGUAUGAUCAUUAUAUGAGUGAACCUGCAGUUAAGAUCAUUGAUUGCUAUUGGCUUCCAUUUUCAUUGUUGACUAGUAGCAUCUAUUAUAAUCAUCUAACAUGAUGAGUUCCCUUCAUUGGACUUCCGUCGAUCAUUUUAUAAAUAUUUUAUAACUUUUCAUAUAGUAAUUGUAAUACAGUUUUGUAGAGAGUUUUGUGCAUUAGGAUGCAUUCAUCGACAAGAAUAUCAUGUUCUGUAGCCCUCCCAAUAAAAACAUAUUUUGUAUUUAAAAUCUUUUAAAAAAAUUUCAAAGUAUGUAAGGAUUCCAUUUUUUGUGAAAAUUUUCUCAAUAUGCAUCUAGGAUUGGAUAUUUGUGGAGACAUGAAGAUGUAGUUAUGGUCUUUGGUGUUGGUCAUUGACUUUGAAUUUGGUGGUUAGGAUAGGCUGAGUAAAGCAACUUUUUGUUAGUGGCCAAACAAUGGAGGCCCAAGGGAUGGUGUUACAGAUCAUCAUACAAAUGUGUUGUGUGUAUGGUAGAUGAUAUGGAGACACAAAAAGAAAAUGUCAUGACUCUGGAGGCAGUACUGGAUGAAGUACCUAUAAACAACUACAUUAUACACUCUAACUCCCUUGUCUUCUUGAGGCAUCACAAGAAUCUUAUAAUUUUGGUUGUUUCUUAUACCCAUCUAACAGAUUGGAUUUGUAACAACUACCACAUUUAUCAAAAUCUAUCCUUUGAAGCUUAUUUCGUCUUUCUUUUCUGAUGGAUGAAAAAUCUACAAGUCCCUGAGGUCAUGGUACAUGUGGCCCUGAUGGAUGAAACAUAUCUAUCACACUUACAGUUUAUAUCUCAAUAUUUACUCUUGGGUGGGUAGCCUACGUUUCAUUUUACAUACAUUAUGAAGUUCCAAUCAAAGUGUUGUAUUAGCAGAUAGUGCUUUCUUUAUUAUUAUUAUUAUUAAUUUUUUAUAAAUUUAUAUCUGUGUUCCUAAUUUGUGUUCUUAAUUUAUAUCUUUGUGAUUCCGCAAUUGUUCGCUUAUGCGGUGAACUUCCCAUUACUCAACUGGCUUUUGGACUGAGUUGUCCUGUAGAAUUGGAAUGUACUAGAUUUGGACAUCAACUCAGUUGACUUGCCCUUGAUUAAUUGUAUAUAGACACUUUAAUCACUUAUUAAUAAUAUAAAUAUUAUUAGACUAUUUAUUAGAUAUCGAGAUGAGUCAAGUAAAGACUUGUCGGAGUCUUCAAGUCGACUCACCCUGGCUGGACAUUGAGUCGAGUCCAUACUUUGAGCUUUUGAACUAUGAUCUGGAUCCAACCCAUUGGGAGACUCGUUUUACAAUAUCUGUGUUAAUAUCUUUUUGCUAAGACAUUGUCAGUUUGGUUACAGCUUGGAGUUCUAGUACUAUACUACAGUGAUCCUUUUAGUGGGUUCAUUGAAAAAUAAGCCAGAAAUAGUUGUUGAUGUCGUCUCUAUCUGUAUGAACUUGGAGCUGUGGACACUGAUGGUUGCAAUCGGUUUCAAUGCGGCUGUCAGCGUACGUGUCUUGAAUGAACUAGGGGCUGGCUGUCCAAAAGCAGCACAGUUUCAGUAGUGGUGGCUGUUUAUAUGUUGGCAUUGUUUAGAAUUCUCUUCACAGCUGCAGUUCUCAUCACCAGGAGCCACUUCCAAAAGUUGUUCACUACUAAACCAG